GGAGAGGAUAGGGUCUUUGGCAAAGGAAUCUAAAGGGGAAGCAGCUGCGGAGGAUGGGGCGGUGGUGGAAGGAAGAGAAGAAGAGGAGGAGGAAUUUUUUAGGGUAGAGAGGCGUUGCAGAGGGGAUGCAGAAGGCGAGAGUGCAGAUCUCUGCAGUGCAGGUGAAGCCAUCUUCUUUUUUCGGUUCUUGUUAUUUUUGGCCAAUCAACUUGAACCACAAUUUUUAGUUUUGAUGCAUAGUUGUGAAAUCCGGACCGAC
Molecule: unclassified non-coding RNA, 259 nt
Filed under: Hevea brasiliensis (rubber tree)
Lineage: Eukaryota; Viridiplantae; Streptophyta; Magnoliopsida; Malpighiales; Euphorbiaceae
Source: RNAcentral